Microcebus murinus (gray mouse lemur) is the source of this 62-nucleotide small nuclear RNA. Its record names the gene U7. It matches the Rfam family "U7 small nuclear RNA". Rfam says of the family: Animal histone pre-mRNAs are spliced by a different mechanism than nuclear pre-mRNAs and self-splicing introns. The record is from Ensembl. Lineage: Eukaryota; Metazoa; Chordata; Mammalia; Primates; Cheirogaleidae.
UAGUGUUUCAGUUCUUUUAGAAUUUGUCUAGUGGGUUUUCUGGUUUUCACUGGAAGACCCAA